RNAcentral lists this ribosomal RNA (225 nucleotides) under Triticum aestivum (bread wheat). RNAcentral describes it as "partial small subunit ribosomal RNA". Lineage: Eukaryota; Viridiplantae; Streptophyta; Magnoliopsida; Poales; Poaceae. The record is from RNAcentral.
AUGGAUAUAAAUCCUAAGGUACUAUGCUGGAACGUGCGGGGACUGAACAACCCUGCGAAGAGGAAAGCGGUGAGGGAGUUUAUCACUUCGGCUAGGGUGAAUCUUGUGUGUUUACAAGAAACAAAACUCGAUGUAGUCGAUCGUUUCCUCGUGAUGCAAUUUAUUGGACCAUCACUAGAUGGCUUUGAUUACCUUCCGGCUAGUGAUACUCGCGGUGGAAUCAUA